Molecule: ribosomal RNA, 436 nt
Filed under: Neohygrocybe nitrata
Lineage: Eukaryota; Fungi; Basidiomycota; Agaricomycetes; Agaricales; Hygrophoraceae
Description: eukaryotic LSU rRNA
Rfam family: 5.8S ribosomal RNA (bases 122-275)
Source: RNAcentral
UCCUUCCGUAGGUGAACCUGCGGAAGGAUCAUUAUUGAUUUUGUGCACUUUGUGUAGACCUUUUAAAAGGUCUAUGUUUUUAUUACACACACUAUGUAUUGUGAAAGCAAUUGUAGGAAACAACUUUCAACAACGGAUCUCUUGGUUCUCGCAUCGAUGAAGAACGCAGCGAAAUGCGAUAAGUAAUGUGAAUUGCAGAAUUCAGUGAAUCAUCGAAUCUUUGAACGCACCUUGCACUCCUUAGUAUUCUGAGGAGUAUGCCUGUUUGAGUGUCAUUGGAAUAUUCUCAUUGAGAAAGUUGGGGUAUGCUUAUGGCUACUCUUAAAUGUAUAUAAAAGCUUCAAUUGGUACGAUUUAUUGAAGGCUUUACCUUUUGACACUUGACCUCAAAUCAGGUAGGACUACCCGCUGAACUUAAGCAUAUCAAUAAGCGGAG